This 450-nucleotide ribosomal RNA is filed under the name uncultured bacterium. RNAcentral describes it as "bacterial SSU rRNA". It matches the Rfam family "Bacterial small subunit ribosomal RNA", at positions 354 to 796 of the family's 1533-position model. The record is from RNAcentral.
GUGGGGAAUUUUGGACAAUGGGCGAAAGCCUGAUCCAGCCAUGCCGCGUGUGUGAAGAAGGUCUUCGGAUUGUAAAGCACUUUAAGUUGGGAGGAAGGGCAGUAAGUUAAUACCUUGCUGUUUUGACGUUACCGACAGAAUAAGCACCGGCUAACUUCGUGCCAGCAGCCGCGGUAAUACGAAGGGUGCAAGCGUUAAUCGGAAUUACUGGGCGUAAAGCGCGCGUAGGUGGUUUUGUAAGUUGGAGGUGAAAUCCCCGGGCUCAACCUUGGAACUGCCUCCAAAACUGCAUGACUAGAGUACGGUAGAGGGUAGUGGAAUUUCCUGUGUAGCGGUGAAAUGCGUAGAUAUAGGAAGGAACACCAGUGGCGAAGGCGACUACCUGGACUGAUACUGACACUGAGGUGCGAAAGCGUGGGGAGCAAACAGGAUUAGAAACCCGGGUAGUCC